RNAcentral lists this small nuclear RNA (252 nucleotides) under Loxodonta africana (African savanna elephant). RNAcentral describes it as "7SK RNA". It matches the Rfam family "7SK RNA". Rfam says of the family: 7SK was discovered as an abundant small nuclear RNA in the mid-70s but a possible function has only recently been suggested. Two independent studies have found that 7SK RNA binds the CDK9/cyclin T complex (known as elongation factor P-TEFb). P-TEFb activates transcription by phosphorylating the C-terminal domain of RNA polymerase II. The record is from Rfam by way of RNAcentral. Lineage: Eukaryota; Metazoa; Chordata; Mammalia; Proboscidea; Elephantidae.
AGAUGGGAGAGCAUCCUGGCUGUCACAUCUAUCACCUCAUGAUUCUCCACAGUUUGUCCUACUCAUCUGGCUUGCUAGGUGAGGUUCCCUAUAUCUCUCAACCCUCCAUCUGUGUCGCUCCCAAAGCUCAAGAAAAAAGGAUGACCUUGCCAGAUAGAGCAGAAAUCAUCUUCCAGCAAGGGGAUUUGAGUUAUUGAAUCCUCUGGGUAUAAUUAUAAAACUAGCUCUGCUUGUGACGGGUAGAUAGCUUCU